GAGAAGUCAGGCCAGACUAAGCCAUA
RNAcentral lists this long non-coding RNA (26 nucleotides) under dengue virus type 1. RNAcentral's name for it is "dengue virus type I partial sfRNA1". Lineage: Riboviria; Orthornavirae; Kitrinoviricota; Flasuviricetes; Amarillovirales; Flaviviridae. The record is from RNAcentral.